AACGAACGCUGGCGGCAUGCCUAACACAUGCAAGUCGAACGAGACCUUCGGGUCUAGUGGCGCACGGGUGCGUAACGCGUGGGAACCUGCCCUUAGGUUCGGAAUAACUCCCCGAAAGGGGUGCUAAUACCGGAUAAUGUCUUCGGACCACAGAUUUAUCGCCUUUGGAUGGGCCCGCGUUGGAUUAGCUAGUUGGUAGGGUAAAAGCCUACCAAGGCGACGAUCCAUAGCUGGUCUGAGAGGAUGAUCAGCCACACUGGGACUGAGACACGGCCCAGACUCCUACGGGAGGCAGCAGUGGGGAAUAUUGGACAAUGGGCGAAAGGCUGAUCCAGCAAUGCCGCGUGAGUGAUGAAGGCCUUAGGGUUGUAAAGCUCUUUUACCCGGGAGGAUAAUGACAGUACCGGGAGAAUAAGCUCCGGCUAACUCCGUG
This 433-nucleotide ribosomal RNA is filed under the name uncultured bacterium. Its description in RNAcentral is "partial 16S ribosomal RNA". It matches the Rfam family "Bacterial small subunit ribosomal RNA", at positions 29 to 507 of the family's 1533-position model. The record is from RNAcentral.